Molecule: long non-coding RNA, 1446 nt
Filed under: Athene cunicularia (burrowing owl)
Lineage: Eukaryota; Metazoa; Chordata; Aves; Strigiformes; Strigidae
Description: lncRNA (ENSACUG00000013906.1)
Source: RNAcentral
AUGUCCUGGCUAACGAGGGGAGGGAAAUCGAAGGAGAAAGAGGAGGUGGAAAGCUCCUCCAGCCACGAGGAGAGGGGGCUGCUGGUGCAGGCCAUGCUGGAGCACGGGGGAGACCCGUGGGACUGUAAGGUCAUUGGGCAGGACCCCACCCUGAGAGCUGCGGAGAGGCACUGGCAGAACUACGUGUCCGUCUGCCACCCCAAGGGGGAGAAGAAGUGCUCGGCCCUGCAGUGGCUGUUGUUCGAUCUGGCCCGGGUCUUGCAGGCAGCGGUGGAAGAGAAGGAGCAGUGUAUCGAGAACCUGCAAAACAAUCUGCAGGUGGCUCGCAAGGAGGUCCUGGCGCUGCGGUGCGACAGCUCGCUGCUGAGCGAGCAGGCCGAGGAGCUGCGCAAGCUGAGGGAAGAGCUGAGGGCUGAGGCGGUCGAGAACGCCCAGCUGAGAAGCAAGGUGCAGUGCUUGCGCACCCUGCUGUCGCUGGGCAAGGGUUUGGAUCAGAGGAUGGUGGCGGCUCUCGGGAAGACCAACUGGGACCCGGAGGUGUGGAAUGGGGACGGCUGGAGUUUGGAGGAGCAGAAAGAGUCGUCGGUGCAAGGAGUGGGUGCUGCGGGCACUAGGAAAGUAAAGCCGGUGGAGGGAGAUGGAGACCAGGGAGAGGGGGAUAUGUCCAGGAAGGAGAAGAUGUGGAAGAAACGGAAGGAAGCGUGGCCUGUGUGGGUCAAUCGAAUGUGGACCUUGGAGCAGUGCACUCCCUUCACGCACGAGGGGGCGAAGCAGGUGGUGACCGCCAUUGGGCUGCCGUGGCCCAGGGUGGGGGCUGUUAUCAGAGCCCUGCCUGCCGAUGAGGUGUUGGGGGGGGAGAUCUUAAGGCUGGUGAUAAGAAAUUUGGGAGAGUACGAGCCUCUCAAAGAUAACAUGGAGGGGGCGCCCUGGAGAGAUGUCCAGGAGGCGUCAGCCUACAUGUGUGGGAAUGUCUUACUCCGAGUGUUAAAGCAAAGGGAGAAACCAGUGACCCCUGACUUCGACAUCUUUGGGGUGAAUGUGGAGCAGGGGGACGUGGGGUUGCUGGCAAGCCGUGCUCCUGAGCUGCACAAAGGGUUUUUCAUCAGCCUGGGGUCUACUUUAAUUGGCCGCCCCCUUGGUGAAUGUAUGGCUACCUUGGAGAACAUGGGGACCCUGAUGGGAGCUGAGGGGAAAGGGAUGGCAAAGCAAGACGAGAUGGGGGCAAAGGGGAGGAAAUACAUUCCUAGAGGGAAAAUUUGGAGAUAUUUAAUAAGCCAGGGGGUGAAUGAAGGAGAGCUAGAUAGUAAGCCCACAGGAGUUUUACUUGCCAAGAUGAAGAAAAUCCUUCUGGAAAAGGGGAUGAAGCAAGAGGAGAUUUGGGAAAAACUGAGACAGAUGAAUCCAUCAGCUCCUCCCCCUAUUUCUUUAGGGGACCUUAAAGAUUAG